GAUGAACGCUAGCUACAGGCUUAACACAUGCAAGUCGAGGGGAAACGGCAUUGAGUGCUUGCACUCUUUGGACGUCGACCGGCGCACGGGUGAGUAACGCGUAUCCAACCUUCCCAUUACUGUGGGAUAACCUGCCGAAAGGCAGACUAAUACCGCAUAGUCUUCGAUGACGGCAUCAGAUUUGAAGUAAAGAUUUAUCGGUAAUGGAUGGGGAUGCGUCUGAUUAGCUUGUUGGCGGGGUAACGGCCCACCAAGGCAACGAUCAGUAGGGGUUCUGAGAGGAAGGUCCCCCACAUUGGAACUGAGACACGGUCCAAACUCCUACGGGAGGCAGCAGUGAGGAAUAUUGGUCAAUGGACGGAAGUCUGAACCAGCCAAGUAGCGUGCAGGAUGACGGCCCUAUGGGUUGUAAACUGCUUUUGUAUGGGGAUAAAGUUAGGGACGUGUCCCUAUUUGCAGGUACCAUACGAAUAAAGACCGGCUAAUUCCGUGCCAGCAGCCGCGGUAAUACGGAAGGUCCAGGCGUUAUCCGGAUUUAUUGGGUUUAAAGGGAGCGUAGGCUGGAGAUUAAGUGUGUUGUGAAAUGUAGACGCUCAACGUCUGAAUUGCAGCGCAUACUGGUUUCCUUGAGUACGCACAACGUUGGCGGAAUUCGUCGUGUAGCGGUGAAAUGCUUAGAUAUGACGAAGAACUCCGAUUGCGAAGGCAGCUGACGGGAGCGCAACUGACGCUUAAGCUCGAAGGUGCGGGUAUCAAACAGG
RNAcentral lists this ribosomal RNA (761 nucleotides) under Prevotella melaninogenica. RNAcentral's name for it is "bacterial SSU rRNA". It matches the Rfam family "Bacterial small subunit ribosomal RNA", at positions 28 to 776 of the family's 1533-position model. Lineage: Bacteria; Pseudomonadati; Bacteroidota; Bacteroidia; Bacteroidales; Prevotellaceae. The record is from RNAcentral.